ACCUGCCAGUGUGCAUUGGAACAGACUGUGGACAUUGAUUGAGUGCACCUGGUGCCAAUCAGCUUGAUUAACAGGACUGGAUCUCGGGCAAUGACAGCAAACAAAAGACACAAUCAGACGAAGACCGAAAAGGGUGAGAGCCGGGAGGAAGCAGACAAAGCAGAGGAACAGGGCAGCGCGGCGAGCCGCAGGGCGCGCGGCGGUGCAAGCCGCCGUGGAGAGCCGGAAGGAAGCAGACAGAGCAGAGGAGGGCAGCGCGGCGAGAGCCGGCAGGAAGCAGACAGAGCAGAGGGACAGGCAGUGCGGCGGCGGCAGAAGCAGCGGGGAACGGCAGCGUGCAAGGGGCAGCACGAUAGAUAACCGGGCAGAAGCGGCGGUGUAUGACGAGCACCAGGGCGGACUACUAGGCUGAAACAAGGGCGCACAGCACCGGCACAGAGACAGGGCGACCGAAGAGCGAGAGAGAGAUGCACGGCAGCCGUAAAGUGGGGCCAGGUCUGGAACGCACGGCGGUUUGCGGCAUACUGGGCGGCUUGGAUAUCGCCGCCCAGACCCGGAUUGUCAACCACCUCCUUUGUUGCACAUGGGCUAUUAGGACCUCAUAACUGUCAGGAAACCUGUGGCUUGCCUGGAGCCUUAUACUCUGCCGUACCCCUUGUGGUGAAUCAAACUCACUUCCAGCUGCUCCAGAGAUGUACUGCAAGCAAGAAAACUGAGGCAGAGUCAGUCAGAUGGUGCAUGAAUAAAAAUCCAAACUAUAAGUAAGCAGAGAUGUAAAACUGCAUCAAAGUUGCAACAAAUACAUUUUGAAAAGCUAAAAACACAUUUAGGGCAAAGCAUGUGACUUUGAAUUAAAGUGAUUUCAUCCUUCAAGUUAUUGCAUUGGUCACUGGAAUGUUUCUGGAUGCAUCAAGUGUAGUUAGCUGAUAUGAAGAUCCAGUCUUGAUGAGCCUGGAGAUUGCAGGACACUGUAUGAUCUAAAUACAUAUUGUCUUGAAUCUGGAUGAGUAGUAAUCUGAAGUAAAAACACAACGGCUGUGAUCAGAAAGCAUAAAAUAUUUUACUGUAAACAUAUUAUAUGUAAAGGUGAGGCACAUCUUCUGGUAAUAUGCACCAUUUAACUAUGUCAAAUACAUGCCUGCAGAAAUUCAAUGCGGAAAAAUUCCUCAGUUAAUUUACACCUUUCAUUAACUUUAUUUGCUUUAUUUACUUGCUUUAUUUUAUUGUAUUUUAUGUACAGCAUCUUUGAGAUACUUGUAAAGUGUUUUAUAAAUAAAAUGUAUUACUAACAACUCUCUUUAAUGCUAAGCUAAACCCCUAGCUCGUUAUACAUUCUCCUGCUUUGCUUUAUUAUUCAAUUAGCCAGUUGAACUUUGAUUUGCAAUUAAUUAAUCCCUUUCAUUUGUCUUGUCCAAUCACUAACCUGUGCCCUCUUUACAGCUAAGUUGCUCUGGUAUUUUUUUUGCCUGCAACCAUAAAUACAUGACUCACAUAAAUAGUGCAUAAAAUAUUGCAUUAUAAAAGAUUGAAAAGCACCUCUGCAAAGAUAUAAGAAUGCUGCCUUUUUAUUUUAACAUUAGAAACAUAUAUUGCUACAUUCAGGUUUAUUUACCUCUCUGAAUCUCUUACUUUUAAAGAAUUGAAUACAGGCUUACAUAUAUCGAGCAGGUCUGAAGUAACUGACAUUUUAUUACACCAUUGUGACAGAUCUGACUUUAAUUACAUCCCUGCUCCAAUUUACAAAGUUCUACAACGUGUUUGCAUUUUUUAGCUUCAGUGUUGCCCUGUAAAGAGCCAUUUCACACUGCGAGACCUACAGUUCCAAUAACUGUAAAUGAAUCCCUUAUAAAGCUUGGCAGGGAAUGAAUGCAUUUAUAAAACAAUGCAGCGGGAUGCGUUGGUGGAGUGAUGCUGCUUUAGGCACUGAUGAAACAUCAACUUUGAUCCAGAAAGUCCAUUUAAAGUAACAGAUCAGUGACUUUGGUGGUUUAUCAGGCCCAUCAAAGGCACCAGAACGUUAUCUCAGAGGCUGUAUUUUUUUAUUAUUUACUGCAACAAUUGCAAAAAAAAAAAAAAAAACGGUAGAAA
Molecule: long non-coding RNA, 2088 nt
Organism: Acanthochromis polyacanthus (spiny chromis)
Lineage: Eukaryota; Metazoa; Chordata; Actinopteri; Pomacentridae
Exons: 2
Source: RefSeq, a predicted model, not a curated record